Long non-coding RNA from Panicum virgatum (switchgrass), 1733 nucleotides. RefSeq lists it as uncharacterized. The record is from RefSeq and is a predicted model, not a curated record. Lineage: Eukaryota; Viridiplantae; Streptophyta; Magnoliopsida; Poales; Poaceae. The transcript is spliced from 2 exons.
GAAUCUUGCUGAAUAAUAAUGACAGUAGUAUUAGUAUAGCUAGGGAAACAAUAAUAAUGACAGUCAGUAAACAAAAUUAGAUCCAUCAAUUUGGUUAUUGGAUCUUAAUCAUUCUCGUUGAUUGGAUCUUAAUCAUUCUCGUUCGAAUCAUCAUUUUUGUUUUGUGGCCCUUCACCAGCCAGGGAGAGGAGAGGUACUGCCGCUUGGCUGCUGCCGCCCCCGCGCCAGCCCCGAUCUCCGGCGGCGCGUCGCAUGCUGAGGACGGCGGCGCCGCAGGCGAGCGGGCGGGAGCCGGCGUUGAUGACGGUGGCCACGCGGGCGAGCGGUCGGCCGCAACGGACGGCGGCGGCGUGGAUGGAAGGGGGUGCCGUCGGCCGGCGGCAGGCCGCGUGGGGGAACGACCAAUGCGAGAAAAACGGAUCCAGAAAAACAAACGCCAAACAAAAAAAAAUAAGAUUUCUUUUUGUAGGAUUAUUACGUAUUAAGACGAGAUUAUCCUUAAUGAAAACGUGUAAUUUUAACUCCAAAUGUAAAAAUUACUAAGAAAUAUGUGCGUGCGUUGCUACGGGUAUAUAAUCUAUAUUCGUAGCAAAUGGCGACAUAAAUCAUGUCUUUUUAAUUAAAUUAAAUUUUAAAAUUAUGUAUGUAUAUCUAAAUACAUAACAAAAUCUAUGUAUUUAUGAAAAGCCAGAACGAUCUAUAACUUGAAACGAGGAGUAUAGUUUAUUUUAUGAUGAUGACCAUGUUAUCCAUUAUCAGCAAAACUGCCUCGAACGUACUGGCCCACGAGAGACGGGAGGGGCGACUCGUAUGGCGACCGACGAGGCGGCCGGACCUGCGCCAUCUCCGGCUAGAAGAGGGGCUUCCAAGCCGGAAAAAGUAGAUAAUGAGCGGUGCGCGACGCUCCUUCCUCCUAUCCGGAGGAACGGGGCAGUAAAAUCAGACAGCGAGACUCAUGGAGAGUUGCUCAAGGAUUGUCGAUUCCGCCCCAUGGAGGGGAUGGAGAUUUGGUCGGAGAUGCAGGACGAGGGCAAGGAGCCUCCCCUUCAUCCUCUGCCUCGAAUCAGUUGAGAACAGAGGAAUGGCCUUCGAUCCAGAGAUCAUUGCAAAUCCAGAGAAAUUGAAGACUUGCUAUGGUUCCAGGGCUCUAGUGCGACAAGGCAAGUCGAAUCAAGAGCAAGGAAGCUAUACCCUCACGACUAAGGGGGAAAUUCAAAGGGCAAAUCAUAAUUUAGCUCAGGAUAUUAGGAAACAUUUAUUCUCUUCUGAGAUAGGAGAUGAUUGCUUAGAGAAGCUAGCAAAAUCAUGUGAUCAAUUGGAACAAGCUAUGAAUAGAAUGAACUAGGUUUGGUGGCGCGCGGUGCUGCGCAGCCCCCUGAAUUUGCAGGUGUUUGAUUUUCUGCAAGUCGGAUUGGGAUGCAAGCACCGCUGCAAGGGAGAGUGGAUGUCCUCUGACAGUUAGGAUUUGCAAGCUACUUUGAACUGUGAAAAAUUCGUAAUGCACACAAAGCAAAAACUCUUGCUUAGGAGUCUGGAAUGGUGGAUUAAGUAAUCCUGGCAGGCUGAAAGACAUGAACCAUGUAAAUAAAAUGUGGACCAAAAAUUUUACCGAUUGCGGAAUCAACUUCUGUGCAACUUUUCUUUGUAAGGAGAACCACUAUGCAUAAUUGUAUCACCUAGAGUUAAUUUUUUUGAUGAAAUAUUAAUUAAGAGGGAUGCUUGCUUUUGGCAUA